This is a long non-coding RNA of Pipra filicauda (Wire-tailed manakin), 1357 nucleotides long. RefSeq lists it as uncharacterized. The transcript has 4 exons. The record is from RefSeq and is a predicted model, not a curated record. Lineage: Eukaryota; Metazoa; Chordata; Aves; Passeriformes; Pipridae.
AACAUCCCGUUCAGAGCGUGUCCGCCGCGUCUCACAGGGUGAGGUGGUUCCUUGAUGUAAGAGCUUCCUCCUGGACCUGUAAUGCUGAGCUCAGAUCUUCUGCCGCUCACAGUGAUGACUGUCCCUCUGGGCAAGAACAUGGGGCCUUUCCACGCAGCAGCAGAGCAGCCCAGGUGAUGGGCUCACUCCACCCCAUUUCCAGAGAAAGCUGCAUUUAGAGAGGAUGUGCUGCUCUCCUCCUAACUAAAUUCCGUGGACUGAAGGAGACUUUGCAGUGGAAUGCCUCGGGGAGCCCGGGCUCGCUCACCUCAGCCUGCUGUGCUCCCACCAGGGCGUGGCAGCCCAGCAUCAGGGAGCCGCUGGGGAAGGGCCAGUGCUGGGACGCCGAGUACCGGAGCGACUCCACCUCCAGCCCCACCUCCUCUGCCACCUCCCGCCGCACCGCCUCCUCCACGGUUUCACCUGCGAGCAACCGAAGGGACGUAAGGACGGCCCGGCCCCCGGGCAGCAAGGAAAACUGCUCAUUUCCCAGGGGUUCCAGCCCCUGUGCUGACCUGGAAACGCUCAUCAGCAGGAUGCUCCAUUAAACUCAUCAACUCAUCUCGUAAACACAGCUACCAGAGAAUUUUUUUGGCCCUGUCUACAUACAGGACACCUCAACAUCUCCCCUUUUAAGCCAUUUUCCCUCCUGUAACGAGAGGUCUGUAGUCUUCCUUCCGAGCCAGACUGCACUAACCACAAAAUGGACUAAAAAAGUAUCAGAGCUUCCAACCUGGGGAGUUUAAAACUUACGUUUACCAGCAGAGACUACAGCAACUGGAGGGACACCUUCCGCUAGACCAGGCUGCUCCAAGCCCCAUCCAGCCUGGCCUUGGGCACUUCCAGGGAUGGGGACACACAUCAGCUGCGCGUCCAUCCCUCUCCCUGAACAGGUGUUCCCACACCCUGCAAGCCCAAGGCCACUGCCCUGCCUCGGGGCCCACCUUACCCAGGUCACAGAAGCCCGAGAGCGCCGUGAACAUGCCCGGGGGGAAGGAGGGCUGGCGGGCCAGGAGGCAGCGGCUGCCGUUGGACACCAGGGUGAUGACCACUGGAGACACCUGCCAAGGGCAGCAGAGAGCAAAGCCACUUCACACCCAACAAGUCCCCAGAAGAAGUGAAUCCCAGAGACUCUCCUGAUGCUAGAAGAGCAAACAAAAGGAGCAGGCAAAGAGGACACAAGCAGCAAGGAAUGCUUGCCAUCUCCUACAUGGACAAGAUUGCAAACCAGCUGCCCCCAAUAAGCAGAAAUAAGCAUCAGAAUUGCUAACAGCUGGCCCUUGUAAAACAACUGUUAAUUGCCCUAAAUACAUGAAAC